AGUGAAGCAAUUUACAGUAUGACACGGAAGAACACCACCAAGCGGACGCAGUUCCUGCUGUAAUUCACAAAAGAAGACGUCCACGGCAUCUUGAAUUUACUUCUUCAAUUCCAAAUCAAUAGUAAAUGCUCUCACUCUUCCACAGGAAAAACUAAAUGGAAACAAAAUCCCAGAGCUAAUCAAACAUUAUCCGACACUUGGCACAAUUAACACAGAAAGAAAACCCAAUUAGUCUAACGAAUCAAAAUUUCAAAAAAAAAAUGAAGAUUAUUUCAUUAGUCGAACAAAGAAAAAGCUCAUUAUCAAUUGACAACACAAAAAUCAAAUUAAAAUAAUUUAUUAAUUUGAGCAGUUUCCUAGCAACAUAAACAGAAGCUAAUAACACAGAAACACUCACAAAACAGACAAUCAGCAGAAUUAAAAAUUACUUAAACAAUGCAAAGGGGGUUCCAAGGUUGGGGUUGCCAAAGUAUGAGUGGUGGUCUGAGGCACUCCACGGUGUGUCAAAUGUUGGUCCCGGGACUUAUUUCGAUGAUCUUAUUCCGGGUGCAACAAGCUUCCCCACUGUUAUUCUUACCACCGCAGCGUUCAACCAGUCUUUGUGGAAGCAAAUUGGUCAGGUAUACGUUGUAUCACUACAUUUUUGUCAAUGUUUUUGGUUGGAAAAGAUGACAACACUAGACAAAGCUAUGGAAAUUACUUUUUAUUAAUAAAAAAAAUGCUCAAAGCUAUACUUUUCGUUUGCUUGAAUUGUAUAAAUAUAUUAAUUUAUAUAAUUUGAUCUUGUACUAAAUAAAUUUGUUUUCUUCACGACUAUUUUAGGUUGUUUCAACAGAAGCAAGAGCCAUGUACAAUCUAGGAAGAGCCGGGUUGACAUAUUGGAGUCCCAACGUUAAUGUAGUGAGGGAUCCGAGGUGGGGAAGAGCCACGGAAACACCCGGUGAAGACCCUUAUGUUGUUGGCGUUUAUGCCUCUAACUACGUCAGAGGCUUGCAGGAUGUUGAGGGCACAGAUAAUGCUACAGAUUUGAACUCUAGAUCUCUCAAAGUUUCCUCAUGCUGCAAACAUUAUGCCGCCUACGAUGUAGACAACUGGCUCGGUGUUGAUCAUUACCAUUUUGAUGCCAGGGUAAGUCUUUAAUGUUAGAUAAUAAACCACGUAUAAUCAACUAAUUAAAGUGAUACAAAAUGUGUUUCCUAGCAUAUUCUUAUUUCCUUUUUGUUAUGAAAAGGUGACGGAGUAAGAUAUGGCGGAAACUUUCCUAAAACCAUUCGAGAUGUGUAUUAAGGAUGGUGAUGUAAGCAGUGUAAUGUGCUCUUAUAACCGUGUUAAUGGCAUACCUACUUGUGCUGAUCCGAAACUCUUGACACAUACCAUUAGAGGAGAGUGGGAUCUUCACGGGUACGUAUGCUAAUCACUUUUAAAAAAGGGGUGUGCUAUCCACACACCCCAAAUUACUUCUCACACACCCCUUGUUAAUUUCUGUCCGUUGAUCUUCUUCAAUUCAUCUGAUCCGACGGUCGAAAAUUAAAAGGGUGUGUGAGAAGUAAAAUGGGGUAUGUGGAUAUCACACCCCUUAAAAAAACUUCUCCUAAAGUUUUCACGGAUACGAAUAAUUUUUUAUUUUAUUCUUUUGUCUUGCAGAUAUAUAGUCGCGGAUUGUGACUCUCUUGAAGUUAUGGUGGACCACCACAAAUGGCUCAGCGACACCAAUGAGGAUGCUGCUGCACAAGCUUUGAAAGCAGGCCAGUACUCCUUGCAAAAUUUACUUACUGAAUCGUUUUUGUUUGGGAAAUGCUUGUUGGCGUGAGGGGUUUUGUAAAAAGGGCAUAUAAAUAUAAGGAAAACUAAUGAAAAGGGCUUGAAAACUUUGAGUUUUAAUGAUAAGGACAAAAUAAAGGGUAAAAUGAAUAGUACCAGGAUUGACUUUUUAGUGUAAAAAUGUGAUUUUUCGUUAAAGUGAACAGUACCGGGUGCUUUUCGUUAAAGUUCCCAUAAAUAUAUUGUAAAUAUUAGGAAUCCUUUAUUAGGAAGGAUUUGUGAGUCCUUUAUUGUUACCUUGUAAAAUAAGAGUUGUAUCUUGUAUAUAUUUUUCCUUUAUGCAAUACAAAGAAAAUUAAACCGUAAAAUUCAAGUUGGCAUCAUAGCCUACCGUACCCUAGAAAAAUUCCCACCAUACCCGUGUAUCACAAAGAGGAAAGCAGCAAGGUUUCUGGGUUGUCGCUGCAUCUCUGUAACAAGCCAAACCCUUGUGUGUAGUUGUUGUGUUCUGUGUUGUUGUGCCGUAUACAAUUUGGCUUAGGCAAUAGUAUUUGUAUCUGCUGCAGUAACUUCAAGUUUGUAACAGGGCUAUCUAACGUGUUUUACUGCUGUCUUCAGUGCGGCUAUAAUCAAAAUUGUCGUCUGCGAUUGGCUUUAACAAGGAGUUGUUUACUGAUGAUAUGACAAUUUUUUGCUGCUUGCUGUCCAGUUUGUUGCAGUGAGUAUAACUACAAUUCUUGUGUCGUGUUGCACUUGAAUUGUUCUCGAGUAUCAUGCCUUUGUUCCUGUUCUCGAGUAAUUGAUUGAUUCAGCAUGUCGUUCCGUAAUUGGUGUGGUGUUGUGAUUGUCGUGUAUUACUGUCUCGUGAGUUAUUACAAUGACGAAUGCAGGUUGGAUUUUGGAUUCUGGUGCAACAGAUCAUAUGACGUAUGAUAAAACCUUGUUUCAAUCUAUGACACAUCCUCAUAGAAAGUGUGUGGCAACCGCCAAUGGUUCUACUGCUGUUGUUGUUGGAGCGGGAACAGUGUCUCUUACACCCUCUCUUCCCAUACAUAAUUGUUUAUUGGUUCCGUCAUUGUCUCAUCACUUAUUGUCGGUACCUCAAGUCACUGAACAAUUGGAUUGUGUUGUAUUAAUGUAUCCUUCAUUUUGCUUGCUUCAGGAUAUUCAGACAAAGGAGAUCAUUGGGCGUGGCACUAAGAGAAAUGGGCUAUAUUAUGUGGAUGAUGUGGUUCUUGGAAGAGCUAAUUUGGUUCAUGCAUCACGUAAUAGUAGUCUACAGAAUGUAUUGUUAUUGCAUCGUCAUUUGGGGCAUGCAUCGUUUGGUUAUUUGAAACAUAUAUUACCUGAUUUGUUCAGUGGUAUUGAAGACUCAGAAUUGAAAUGUGAAGUAUGUAUUUUAGCCAAAAGUCAUCGUGCUUCAUUCCCUCCAAGUAUGAAUAGAACAUCUUCUCCAUUUGCGCUAGUACACUCUGAUGUGUGGGGGCCUUCCCUUAUUAGUACUACUUCGAGAAUCAAAUGGUUUAUUACAUUUGUUAAUGAUUGCACUCGUAUGACGUGGGUUUAUCUGUUGAAACAUAAAAGUGAUGUUAGUAUGAUUAUUCGGUCUUUCUCUCAGAUGGUGGCUACAUAAUAGUCCUCCGUUAUUAAGGUUCUUCGUACUGAUAAUGGGGGAGAAUAUGUUAACUCUGAGCUGUCUACUUUUUUCCGUGAUCAAGGAAUUCUUCAUGAGACAACGUGUUUGUAUACCCCACAACAGAAUGGGGUAGCUGAGAGAAAAAACGGUCAUAUUUUGGAAACUGCUCAUGCAUUGCUUAUUGGUGGGUCUGUGCCCAAAAGUUUUUGGCUAGACGCCAUCACCUAUGCCGUGUAUGUUAUAAAUCGCAUGCCAUCCCGGGUUGUAAAAUUUCGUACUCCACUCCAAGUGUUGACGGAACAUGUUCCAGUUGUUUCUACCAAUACUCUCACUCCUCGAGUAUUAGGAUGCGUUGCUUAUGUUCAUAUUCACAAGAUUCAUCGUAGUAAAUUGGAUCCUUGUGCUCUUCGGUGUGUCUUUGUGGGUUUUGCAUCCCACCAGAAAGGUUACAAGUGUUACCAUCCUACAACUCGCCACAUGUAUAUAACCAUGGAUGUGACUUUCUCUGAGUCAGAAUAUUUUUAUACUCCCGUAUCACCACCCUUCGAUCACAAAGGGGAGAGUUAUAGUUGUGAUCUUGAUAGUGUUUUUGAAUGGUUGGAUGUACAAGAGGUAACGUUUUCAGGGGGAGUGCAUGGUGCCGUGCCAAGUGAUAUAGUUGAUGCUCGGUCUCCUUCUGUUUUAAGAGCCUGUUGUGAGUGGUCAGCAUCUUUUCACCGAAGAAUAGGCUGCCCAUCAAGUGUGUUGGUGUUGCCAAAGAGGUUUGUACUGAUGGUCAGCCAGCUGUUGUCGAAGCAGCUUCUUCUCCUUUCUCUAGCUCAACAGUGCUGUUGUCCAAUACAUCUUCUCUGGAUAUCCCUGAGGUAAGCACUAGUGAUACUCAUGUAACUAAUGAUGUUAUAAGUACAUAUAAAUUGCCACCAAGGUAAAAUCGUGGUGUACCUUAUGACAGGUUCUCUCCGGAGGGAAAAGUGAAGUAUCUCAUAACCAAUUAUGUGUCCUGUAAAAACCUUUCAUCUAAACACCAAGCUUGGGUGAAUAAUGUGGAUUCAAUUCAAGUACUAACUCGAGUAGAAGACGUUUUGAAGAGUCGAGAAUGGACCGAAGCAAUGGAUGAAGAAAUGAGGGCAUUGCAGAAAAAUAAUACAUGGGAAGUAGUUGAGCUGCCAAAAGGAAAAAAGCCAGUUGGGUGCCAAUGGGUUUUUACAGUUAAAUACAAGGCUGAUGGAUCACUCGACAGGUAUAAAGCCAGGUUGGUGGCGAAAGGGUAUACUCAAACAUACAGAGUUGAUUAUCAGGAAACUUUCUCUCCCGUGGCUAAGAUGAAUACGGUACGAGUCCUUAUCUCACUAGCUACAAAUUUGAAUUGGCCACUGAAACAGUUUGAUGUAAAAAAUGUGUUUCUUCAUGGUUCUUCAUGGACAUCUGGAAGAAGAAGUGUAUAUGGAUUUUCCUCCAAGGUAUAGCAACGGAGGAAAAAUGGGAGUGUGCCGACUGCGGAAGUCCCUUUAUGGGCUUAAACAGUCACCAUGUGCAUGGUUUAGGUGGUUCACUCAGGCCAUGAGAAAGAAUGGGUAUUUUCAGAGUCAUUCUGAUCAUACUUUAUUUGUGAAGCGAAGGAACAGUAAAGUAACAGCCUUGAUUAUUUAUGUAGAUGAUAUGAUAAUAACAGGUGAUGAUUCAGAUGAAAUUAUCAAGCUGGAGAAGAACCUUUCUGCGAAGUUUGAGAUGAAAAAUUUGGGUGACUUAAAGUAUUUCCUUGGUGUUGAAGUUGCUCGUUCGUCUAGAGGUAUUUUCUUGUCUCAAUGAAAAUAUGUUCUAGAUUUAUUGAAGGAAACAGGAAUGCUUGUGUGUAAACCAGUGGAUACUCCUAUUGUGGAGAAACAUUACCUGGGAAUUUAUCUGGAUUAAGAACCGGUGGAUAAAGGCAGAUAUCAGAGACUGGUAGGAAGACUAAUUUAUUUAGCUCAUACUCGUCCGAAUAUAGCCUAUGCAGUAAGUGUGGUGAGUCAGUUUAUGCACCCGCCGCGCGUGGAUCAUAUGGUAGCUGUUAUGUGAAUUUUGGCUUAUUUGAAGUCGGCUCCAGGAAAAGGAAUUUUGUAUAAAAAUUCAUGUCAUAUAAGGGUUGAGGGAUUUAUUGACGUUGAUUGGGCAGGUGAUGUGACUGAUAGGUGCUCUACUUCUGGAUACUUUACGUUUGUUGGUGGAAAUCUAGUUACUUGGAGAAGUAAAAAGCAAAAUGUGGUGUCAAGGUCUUCAGCUGAGGCCGAAUUCAGAGGUAUGGCACAUGGGAUAUGGAAGUUCUUUGGUUACGUAAGUUACUUGGUGGUCUAGGUUUUAAAGCAAAUGAGGCAAUAAGCUUGUAUUGUGAUAAUAAGUCCACACGGGAGAUUGCAGAGAACCCAAUACAACAUGACAGAACAAAGCAUGUGGAGGUUGACCGUCACUUUAUUAAGGAAAAGCUUGAGAAGAAAAUUGUGUUAAUACCGUUUGUGAACUCAAAAGAGCAACUCGCAGAUAUCCUCACUCAUGCCGUGUGUAGUAGGUUGUUUGGUGACUCACUUGUCAAGUUGGGCAUGUGUGAUAUCUAUGGUCCAACUUGAAGGGGAGUGUUGGGGUGAGGGGUUUUGUAAAAAGGGCAUAUAAAUAUAUUGUAAAUAUUAGGAAUCCUUUAGUAGGAAGGAUUUGUGAGUCCUUUAUUGUUACCUUGUAGAACAAGGGUUGUAUCUUGUAUAUAUUUUUCCUUUAUGCAAUACAAUGAAAAUUAAGCUGUGAAAUUCAAGUAUACUUAUGUUCUUGCUUUUCCGUACUUAAUUACUAGGUUUGAUUAAUUAAGUUCCAUGUUAAUUACUUUAGGGAUGGAUUUGGACUGUGGAGACUACUACCCAAACUUCACUCAAAGUUCGGUGUGGCAAGGGAAGGUGAAGGAGGUAGAAAUCGACCGAUCACUCAAGAACCUUUAUGUGGUGCUUAUGAGGCUAGGUUUCUUCGAUGGGAGUCCCACUUUUAAGUCUCUUGGCAAGAAGGAUGUGUGCUCCAAACAACAUAUUGAAUUAGCAACAGAAGCAGCAAGGGAAGGAAUCGUUUUAUUGAAAAAUGUCAAUGAAACUUUGCCGUUGAAAUCGAAGAAAAUAAAAAAACUAGCCAUCGUCGGGCCUCAUGCCAAUGCUACUGCAGCAAUGAUUGGAAACUAUGCAGGUAUUGAAUCUAAAAAUGCUCUUUGAAUUAAGUUCGACAUGUCAAACAUAAUAUACUCAGCAAUUAAACAUACAAUUCCGAUUUUGUGUUCAGGUAUUCCUUGCCAAUUCACUUCACCUCUCGAUGCAUUUUCAUCCUAUGGAGAAGUUAAGUAUGAAAUGGGAUGUGAUGGAGUUGCAUGUGCAAGUGAGAGUCUGAUAUUCCCUGCCAUGAGGGCCGCAAAGCACGCAGAUGCAACCAUAAUUUUUGCUGGGUUGGACUUAUCAGUUGAGGCAGAGAGCUUGGAUAGGGUGGAUCUGCUUCUUCCUGGCUACCAAACCCAGUUUAUCAAUCAAGUUGCUCAAGUCUCCAAGGGUCCAGUGAUUCUUGUAAUCAUGUCAGCUGGUGGUGUUGAUAUCAGUUUUGCCAAACAAAAUGAUAACAUCAAUGCAAUAUUGUGGGCUGGGUACCCGGGGGAGGAAGGAGGUCGUGCCAUUGCAGAUGUUGCUUUCGGACAUUACAAUCCUGGUAAGUACACAUAAAGCUAAAAGAAUCACAUUUUUAGUCCACAUUAGUUGAUGAUAAUGUUGCAUCAUUUAGCAUAGUUUUUUUCCUAAAUGUAUUUCUUAGCUUUUAACUUGAUCACCAAACAUCUAAUGUAUAUGUUUACUAUGUUACAGGAGGAAGAUUGCCUCUUCCAUGGUAUGAAGCUGGUUACGUGGAUAUGCUACCCAUGACAUCCAUGCAAUUGAGACCAAUUGAUAGCCUAGGCUACCCCGGUCGUACAUACAAAUUCUACAAUGGCUCCACAGUUUGCCCAUUUGGAUACGGCCUUAGCUACACCCAGUUCAACUACACUCUGCGAUCUGCAAAGAGAUCUCUGGAUAUAAACUUGAGAAAGUCCCAACACUGCCGCGACAUAGAGUACAAGGAUCAUGAAUACAGGCCACCUUGCCCUGCAGUCCUUAUUGACGACUUGCAACACAACCAUGAAUUUGGGUUCGGGGUUGAAGUUAAAAAUGUGGGUAAGAGGGAUGGAAGUGAAGUCAUCAUCGUUUACUCAAAACCACCAAAUGGCAUCGCCGCUACGCAUGCCAAGCAAGUGAUUGGGUUUAAAAGGGUUUUUGUGAAAGCUGGAAAAAGCGAAACUGUUAACUUCGUGUUCAAUACCUGCAAGAGCUUGGGACUUGUCAACUACAAUGCUUACAAUCUUCUAACAUCAGGCCGACACACAAUUUCGAUUGGCGAUGAUGUCGUCUCCUUCCCUAUUCAAGUCAACAUUAAAGAGUGAAUUUUUAUUGUAAAUGAACUCCCAAUGGGGUAUUAGGCUUAUUGUGAGUAAAUAAUUAUUUAGUAGAAUAAUUAGAAGGCUAGCUGCUGAUGCACCUCCUUUUCCUUUUCAGAUCAGAUCAGCUUGUAAACGGUAGCCAGUUGAUUUCUAAUUUUCAUCUACUUCAUGUCUAAACAAUCUCUCCAAACCCACCUUAGCAGAGCCAAAGAAUUUGGUAAUUUAUAUGGUCUUAUCCAACUGCUAGUUGUUUUACUCCUGUUUCCUGGCAUCGAACGUUUCAUAGUUUUUUUUUCAAUUUCCCAGCUAUUUCCUCGGCAUUCAAAGAUUUUCUUUUGAAAAUUACAUGAUAAAAUUUUGGGCGAGAUUCAGUGAAGAUUCAUAUUAUCCACAACACCACUAACUGAAGUUAACAGAACUCACCUUAUAAGAUCUCUUGCGAUUACGAAAAACAGAAAUAUACCAUUAAGAUAAGAUGUCAGUAAUUUGUGGAUAAUGUGUUAUAACAUACAAUUAACUAAUUUCUUGAGUUUUAAAUGAUAAACAUAUGAUUUUAGUUAAUUAACUAAUUUAUGAGAGGCGUAACUAUUUGUGCGUACCUAGAGGACACUAUGCCGCUUGGGGCGAGGAUAUGGUGUUGGAAGAUAGGCCGGAAGAAAUAAUCCCUAGCUAUGGGCUGAGGGACACAGAGCAGGCAUUGGGCCGGGAGUUGGUAAUCUCUGGCUACGGGUGCAGAAACCACGGAGCAGGCAUUGGGCCGGGAAUUAUAUUUAUUCAGUGAUCUUUCUAGCAGUACACCGCGCUUACGAGACGAUCUAUGAUACGUUUACUAUUUUGAUUUCCGCAAUGUUGUUCCACGAUAUGACUUUUGAGAUAUUUUGGCAUGCUAGGAUUUUUAUUAAAUCCAUCACUUAUUAUGCUAGUAGUUUUCAUUAUAUAAACUGAAACACCCCAACCCCAUUUUAUUUAAAAAUUGUUUUAAGAUCUUAAUUGGUGAGCCCGUAGGGCCCACCUUAUAAUUUUUUUUGUUUUUCCCCCGGUCUCUCUCUUCCUUUUUCGUCUCUCUCCCCCUAACUCUCCCUUAGCUCUCUCCCUCUCAGCUAUCCCGUACCUCUCUCCCUCAACCUCUCGCAUCUCUCUCUUCCCCUGGACUCACUAGGACCGAGUCACCAUCGAAGAGAGGCUCGCAACGAACCCCGGACCCUGCCCUGCGAGUUCGACGGCACGGAGUAAGCUCCGGCGACUUUCGAGAUAAUUUCCGGCCAAACCACUGCGAGUUAGCCGGCGUGUAAGGUAUCAAUCUCUUCGUCUCGUCGAGUACUACAACUUUCCUUUUUGUUUCACUCAAUUUCAUUGAGUAUUGAAGAAGUUAUACUCAUUUGAAUCUUACCCAGUUUCCGGCGAGUCCGACGGAUUUCGAAGCAUUUUCCGGCCAAACCCAGGCGAAUUAGACGUCGUGUGAGGUACCAUUCUAUUCCUCUCUUCCAGGGCUACAACUUUUGUCUUUGUCUCGCUUGAUUUCGUUGAGUAGUGACAAAGUUAUGGCCGUUUAAAGUUAGGUGGUUUUCCGGCCGAAUUUCCGGCCUUCCCUCUCUCGGUAAAACCAGGCCAUCUGGCCUCUCCCCUUUCCCCCCCCCCUCGGGCCUUAGGCCCAUGAUGUCUUAAGCCCAGUACCCUAACCCAUUCAGUUUUUAUUUUUAGUUAUAUGUUUUUAAAACCCAAAGGGCUCGGGCCCUAGUUUUGGUUGGCCUUGGGCCGGUUUUCAACCAAGGGCUUAAAGCCCUGAUUUCUGUUAGGAGGCCUUAGGGCCUUGUGUAGUGUGUGUGUGUGUGUGUGUGUGUUUAUAGUAUAUGUAUGUGUUUGGGCUUAAACCCAAACCCCUUUCCUAACCCUAAACCAUUUUAACCCAAAACCUUAGAAAUCCUAAAACCCAUUAAAACCCUAAACCCAUCCAAUCCCAAAUCCCCUAUUUUAAUUUAAUUCAAACCAAAUCUUUUAGAAAAUCCUUUUAUUUAUUAAUUAUACAUUCUUGUUCUUAGGUAAAAUUGCUAGUAGAGAAAUUCUAAAUCCUUAUUCGCGCGACUCUUCUGCUAAGGAAUAUUUGUGAGUGGACCCCUUCUAAAAUUACAUGAUUUGAUAAUUUAAUUGCAUAAAUGAUUAGCAUGCCUACGGAUUUAUGAUUUGAUUUAUGUGAAGCCUGAUGAUUUAAUAUAUUGAUUAUCGUCUCGUGUUUUUGGUGAGGAAUUAAUUGUUGGCCUAUAUUGAGCUAUAUUUUAAUAUAUCGUAUUUUCUAUAAAAACCAUGAACUGAUAGACUAUCUGAUAAAUGACGAUAGGAUGCUAGAACAUGUUUUUGAACCCCUUUUUAUAGUGUAGACGAUGAUCGGUAACCUAUGCUAUGAAGUGGUUAUUUACGAGAGGCGUAACAUUUUGUGCGUACCUAGUGGACACUAUGCCGCCUGGGGCGAGGAUCUGGUAUUGGCAUUUAGGCCGGGAGAAAUAAUCCCUAGCUACGGGCUGAGGGACAUGAAGAGGCAUUGGGCCGGGUGGUAGUUAUCUCUGGCUACGGGCGCAAAGACUUAGGUGCAGGCAUUGGGCCGGGAGUUAUAUUUAUUCGGUGAUCUUACUAGCAGCACACCGUGUUUACGAGACGAUUUAUGAGACGUUUACUGUUUUGAUUUCUGCGAUGAGAUUCCGCAAUAUGGCUUUUGAGAUAUUUUUGGCAUGCUAGGCUUUUUAUUAAAUCCAUCACUUAUUAUGUUAAUAGUUUUCAUUUAUAUAAACUGUGGGGGUUAGUAUCUUGAUAACUGUUUUAUUAUUAUCGUAUAUAUAUAUAAACUUGGUCCACUCACCUUGUUUUGCGCCCCCAUUCAGGACUUAGAAUCAAGGCACCUAAUCCCGGCGUCAAGGAACUUCCGCAGCAGCAUCUUCGAGUCCUUUCGGGGUAGGACCCACUCCUUUAUUCAUUAAAUUUUAACUUAAUUCUUUUUUAGUGAUUAGGUUUAGUUGUAUGCUCUGAGCACGUUCCUAAACUGUUAACUCAUUGUAUUUCAAAUUUUUAACCCUUAUCUAUUUCUUAUUCUUAGCUUUUGUAUCAAUUAAUGGCUUUCGUCACCCCCGGGUGUAGGCCAGCACGUGUCGAUCCUGGUAUUCGGGGAAUAUCAGGGUCGGGGCGUGUCAUAAACUGUGGGGGUUAGUACAUCGAUAACUGUUUUAUUAUUAUUGUAUAUAUGAACUUGGUCCACUCACCUUUGUUUUGCGCCCCCAUUCAGGUCAUAGCAACGAGGACUACGAGACGACAUACGAGGCAUUCCCCUACCAGUAGUCGGGGCGUGUCACUUACUAAAGGCUUAAUGGUGGUAGCAAGAGCACGACAUUGUUGUACGUUGUACCGGUCAAAUGCCAAGGUUUUGAAAGGUGAGUUGAAUGCUGUGGAGGACUCAUCUCUAGACUUGUGGCAUAAGAGGCUAGGCCACAUGAGCGAGAAAGGCCUACAAGUUUUGGCAAAGAAGUCUCACAUUCCCUUUGCCAAAGGUACGUCCUUAAACUCUUGUGAGCACUGUUUAUUCGGAAAACAAAGAAGAAUUAGUUUUUCUAUUCCAUCUACAAAGAAAGGAAAUUUGUUAGAUCUUGUUUAUUCAGAUGUGUGUGGUCCCAUGGAAGUCGAGUCACUUGGAAAAAAUAAAUAUUUUGUUACUUAUAUUGAUGAUGCUUCACGAAGGGUCUGGGUUUUGUUGAAAUCCAAAGACCAGGUGUUUCAGACAUUCUAGGAGUUCCAUGCUAUGGUGGAGAAGGAAAUUGGGAAACCUUUCAAGUGCCUUCGUAGCGACAACGGCGGCGAGUACAUAUCUCAUCAGUUUAAAGAGUAUUGUGUGAAACAUGGCAUACGUCAUGAGAAGACAGUUCCUGGAACUCCACAACAUAACAGUGUUGCUGAAAGAAUGAACCGAACCAUCAAGGAGAAAGUCAGGUGUAUGCUGAGGACUGCAAAGUUAUCUAAGCAGUUCUGAGGUGAAGCUGUAAGGACAGCCUGCUAUUUGAUCAACUGAUCUCCAUCAGUACCAUUAGGUCUUGAUGUUCCAGAGAGAGUAUGGACUGGUAAUGAUGUGUCUUACUCUCAUCUGAAGGUGUUUGGUUGCAAAGCUUUUGUGCAUGUGCCUAAAGAGCAGAGAUCGAAGUUAGCCUACAAAGCUACACUAUGCAUCUUUCUUGGUUAUGGCGGUGAAGAUUUUGGUUACAGAUUAUGGGACCCAUACCAGAAGAAGUUUAUCCGAAGUAGAAACGUGGUCUUUUAUGAAGAUCAACAAUUGGGGAAUGAUAAAGAGGCACAACCAGAUGGCGUAGUCAGAGGAGUUGAUCCAUUAGCUUCAGAUGAAGAAAGUCACGAUGACAUCCUGAAGCAGCUGCCAAUGAAGUGCCUGCAGAACCAGAUAAUGCUGAUCAGGGGGAGCCUGAUCAAGAUGUGCCAGAUCAUGAGAUUGCUGAUCAGGGGGAGCCUAGUCAAGAAGAGCAGAUUCAAGGAGAACCCAAUCAGGGGGAGCCUCCAGCCCCGCAAGAGAAUGAAAUCAGGUCAGAAGAUCCAACAGAAGUCGAAGACCGUCUACCAAGUAUUCUUCAUUAGAGUAUAUCAUGUUGACUACUUAUGGAGAGCCCAAAACUUAUGAGGAGGCCAGAGUUCAUAACGACAAUGAUAAAUGGAUGAAGGCAAUGGAGUCAGAGAUGAAUUCCUUAUUAAAGAAUGAUACUUAUGAGCUGGUGGAACUUCCAAAGGGCAGAAAAGCAUUGAAAAACAAGUGGGUGUUCAAAUUGAAAAUGGACGACAACAUGACAAGGUACAAGGCUCGUUUGGUGGUCAAAGGUUUUGGUUAAAAGAAAGAAGUUGACUUUGAUGAGAUUUUCUCACCGGUGGUGAAGAUGACUUCCAUUUGAGUUAUCUUUGGUAUGGCAGCAAGCAUGGAUCUUAAGCUCAAGCAAUUAGACGUUAAAACUGCAUUUCUCCACGGCAACUUAGAAGAGGAGAUAUAUAUGGAGCAACCCAAAGGCUUUGAAGUCAAAGGUAAAAAAACUUUGGUGUGCAAGCUCAAGAAAAGCUUAUAUGGUCUUAAGCAGGCUCCGAGACAGUGGAAUAAGAAGUUCAACUAAUUCAUGGUGAGUAAUGGGUACAAGAGAACUCAUGCUGACUCUUGUGUCUAUAUCAAACAAUUUUUUGGAGGUAAAUUCAUCAUUUUAUUGCUUUAUGUUGAUGACAUGUUGAUUGUCGGUCAAGAUGCUUCUAUGAUUAAAAAGCUCAAAGAAGAGUUAUCUAAGUCAUUUGACAUGAAGGACUUAGGGCCAGCCAAGCAGAUUUUAGGCAUGGAGAUAAUUCGUGACAGAAAAUCCAAGAAGUUGUGGUUGUCACAAGAAAAGUAUGUUGAACGGGUGCUUGAAAGGUUCAACAUGAAAGCAGCCAAACCGGUAAGCUCACCUUUAGCCAAUCAUAUCAAGUUGAGCAAAGAGUCGUGUCCAAAAACAUAUGAAGAAAAGGAGAAAAUGGCAGUUGUUCCCUACUCUUCAGCGGUGGGAAGUAUCAUGUAUGCAAUGGUGUGCACACGGCCAGAUAUUGCUCAUGCAGUAGGUGUGGUGAGCAGGUUUCUCUCUAAUCCAGGGAAGGACCACUGGGAAGCUGUUAAGUGGAUUCUUAGAUAUUUGAAGGGGACUUCUAAGAUGUGCUUCUGCUUUGGCUGUUCCAAACCAAUCUUAGAAGGAUUUACAGAUGCUGACAUGGGAGGUGACCUGGAUGGUAUAAAAUCUACGUCUGGGUACUUGUUUACUUUUGCAGGGGGAGCCGUGUCUUGGCAAUCCAAGUUGCAAAAAUAUGUUGCCUUGUCCACAACUGAGGCUGAAUACAUAGCCGCUACAGAAGCAUGCAAGGAGUUGUUGUGGCUAAAGAGGUUUCUCCAAGAGUUGGGUUUGAAGUAGAGUGAUUAUGGCGUUUAUUGUGAUAGUUGGAGUGCUCUGGAUUUGAGCAAGAAUACUACAUAUCAUUCACGCACUAAGCACAUUGAUAUUCGUUAUCACUGUAUUAGAGAUGCUAUCGAGAACAAGUUGUUACAACUGAAGAAGAUUCAUACCGAUAAUAAUUCUUCAGACAUGUUGACAAAGGUAGUCACAAAAUCAAAGUUGGAAUUCUGCAUUAAGGCUGCUGGGAUGGACUCCAGGUAACUUGGAGUCAUGAUCGGAAUUCCUCCCUCAUGGACUGGAGGGGGAGAUUGUUGGUAUAUGGUCCAGCCAAUGAUCAAUGUUCUAGAUUAUUCUAGUAAGCAAGUGAGGUGGCUGGAGCAUGCUAGACAAUUCUAGCAUGUUAUUAAGUUGAUGGAAGAAGCUAGAGAGUACUAGCUUCCUUGGUUGCAAAUGGAAAGAUCUAGAAGCUACAAUUUUGUGGCCAGUCUAGAAUUAUCUAUGCUAGAGGUUUGAAGAAUACACUAGAAACUAGUAGAAUGCCAAACCCUCACCUAUAAAUAUGGGUGUGAUGUUAUAGUGAAGUAACCAAUUAAGAACCAAGUGUGAGUAGCAAAGGAUCAAGUCCAAAGCUAGAGCUCCACUCCAAGAGUGAGAGUGAGAGUGUUCCACUACACAUUGUGAGCGAAAUUUAGAGUGAUAGAAAGUGUGUGUCAUACUUUCUUGUAUCCAUCAAACCUUGUCUUUGGCUUGGUAAGACUACUCUUGUUGUACUCAUCUUUUUCAUAUAGUGAAGAUUGAUCCUUGUUUCGUGGUCGUAGGCAUAAUUGCCGAACCAUGUAAAUUCUUGGUGUCCAUUUUCUACUUUACCUUGAGCAUUCUCUAUCUUGUAGUACCGACAUUCCUAACAAAUGAAACCUUGCGUAGAACUCUGCUAAGUUCAAAACCCUGGCCGUCGUCGGGCCUCAUGCCAAUGCUACUACCAAGGUCAUGAUCGGAAAAUAUGCUGGUAUUGAAAAUACAAAAAAUGUUUCCAAACUCUUACGUGAACAAAUGUGUUACAUGUAACAUGAUUACUUACUACAUUGUGUACGUGUUCCUUGCAGUACACUUCACCUCGUGAUGCUUUCAAAUCCUAUGGAAAAGUGAGGUAUGAAGUGGGAUGUGAUGUUGCAUGUCUAAAUGAGAGCUUGAUAUAUAUUCACUGCCAUGGCAGCCGCCAAGGCAGUUCAUGCAACCAUAGUUAUGGUGGGAUUGGACUCAUCGGUUGAAGCGGAGGGCUUGGACAGAGUUGACCUCCUUCUUCCUGGUUACCAAACUCAAUUAUCAACCAAGUUCUUCGCCAAACAAAAUGAUAAUCAUAAGUACAAGAACUGUUAAUAGAACUGCAUUUUUAGACCACAUGAUGCGACAAUUAGUAUGUUAGCCAAUAUUUAAUUAUAAUAAAGAUAAUAGAUGUAAUAAGUACAUAUCAAUUGCUUCGUCAAGUGAUCACCUAACGUCCUAACAAUAUAAGUUGACUAUGUUACAGGAGGAAGAUUACCUCUUACAUGGUAUGAAGCUGGUUACGUCAAAAUGCUACUCGAUACCCUAGGCUAUCCUGGUCGUACAUACAAACUCUUAAAUGGCUCUACCGUUUAUCCAUUUGGCUAUGGCCUUAGCUACACUCAAUUCAACUACACCCUAAUAGCUGCAGUUGAAUCGAUGAAUAUUUUGUUGAACAAGACGCAACACUGCCACAAAUUUUAGUACGGCGAUGAAACAUACAAGCCAUCCUGCCCAGCAGUCCUUUUAGAUGACUUGUAACACGAUCUUUCGGUCAAGGUUGAAGUGAAACAUGUAGGCAAAAGGGAUCGGAGUGAGGUUGUUUUUGUUUACUCAAAGCCCCCAGACGGAAUUGUAGGCACUCAUGCUAAGCAGGUGAUUGGGUUUGAGAGGGUGUUUGCGAAAAGUGGACAAAAAACGGAGGUUAAUGGGUGAAAUAUAAUUUUUAUUUUAUUUUUGUAAUAUUACUUUGAUUUGCAGAUAUGUCAUUGCAGCAAUACUAGUUAUAUUUUCAAUUUAAACAACAUCCUAUAUAUUUUCAUAUUGCAUGUUGUGUGGGUAACCUCAAACAGAUAUGUCAAACAUUUUUUUUUCUAAUUUGUUGUAGUGUAUCCAUUUUUUGGUGCAGAGCUCCACGAUUGGCUAGCGUGAAUCUUGGUAUCUUCAUAUGCAUGCAAUGUUCAGGGAUCCAUAGGAGUCUUGGGGCACAUAUACCAAAGGUAUAAUUUUCGGUUAUGCAAAAACUUCAAAUUCGUUUUAUUAUUUGUAUGGUACUCAAUUCCAUAUUUUAUGCUUUACGCUAAUGAGUUUCGAUUCUAUUUUUAUCUGCAUUAUUAUGAUGAUUUGGAUGCUUUUGUAGGUGAGAUCUGCCACUUUGGAUACAUGGCUCCCAGAUAGGGAUGGGCAAAAUACUUAUGGGUUUGGGUAACUGCGGUUAUCCGCCCAUAUAAAGUUCACGAUUAGGGUUAUGGGUAACCGUUUAAACGAACAAACGGUUAUGAAUAUAGCCAUUUAUAAGUGAAAUUUAAAUGGACGGUUAUGGGUAUUACCCGGGGUUAUAAUGGGUAUCCAACGGUUAUGGGUAUUACUUGCGGUUAUAACGUGUGUCCAUUUACCCAUUUAAUUCAAUAUAUGUAAAAUUAAAAAAAAAAAAAAAAGCUCAGCAGACCUAACAAGUUUUGGCCCUGCUCUAAUUCUAUCAAUUUAACCGCGGUUAUAAAUUGAAUCCAAACUGACUUUGGAUUGGUGCUCCCCUACGCGCCUCCAAAUCAGCCCCAUUGCCCGAUUGGAUUUUCCGGUACGAAUCACUGCAUCAAUUACCCUUUAUCUCCAUCAAGAUUUCAUCUUUCUUCUACCCUUCACGCCAUUCUUCCAUGCCUUGUUGUUUUUUCGACUUUUAGUUCCUAAAUGGGAUACUAAUUCAAUUUAUAUUUUUUUUUGUUGGCCUCUUUUGAUGGCAACGAGUCGAUGAGAUUUUGUGAUUGAACGUGCUGAAGUAUUAGUGUUCGAAAGUGUUUAGUUUCAGAAUACUUUGGAGAUUUGAAUCAUCUAGUAUUCAAGAUAAUGACUACUUUUUGUUUUUAGAAGCUUUACUUUGUAAUCAUAUGGAUUAUAAUUAAAGUUGGGUGUAAUAGAAAAAUAUUGUUUGUAAACUAUUAUUUUAAUUAUUGGAAUUGUAUGAGGACUUAAAUGAUUAAAAUAGGAAAAUGCAUUCUAAAAUUUACCUAUAACGAUGUUUAAUUAUCAGAAAACGAAAAUUACGACAAAUUUUUCUUUUGUAAUUUUCAAAUUGUUAAAAAAACAUGUAGACGGGUGAAAAAUGAAUAAAUGGGUAAAAAAAGGAUAAAUGGGUAAACGGGUAUGGUUAUGGUUAAAUGGGUACACGGUUAUGGGUAUGGUUAACCGUUUAUAAACGGUUAUGGAUUUGGGUAUAACCGUUUAUGCAAUUACCCAACGGGUAAACGGUUAUGCGGGUAUGAACAUAAACGGUUAUGGGUAAAUUACCGCGGUUACGCGUCCGCCAUAACCAUUGCCCAUCCCUACUCCCAGAGUAGGUUGCAUAUAUCCAAUGUAAGUACCAAUGCUGUUAUACCAGCUUCUUUCCAUUAUGGUAGUAAGGUUAUAUCUCUGUCAAGCAAGGUCGCAUUGAGAGAGAGAACACCAAGGGCACUCUCUCUUACCCUCACUGACCCACAUUAAAAAAGAGGCACAUUAUGUUUGCACCCUAUUUUCGCAUACUUUCAUCUUGUUGUAAAUUUCGAUGUUCUCUCUUUGUUGGUCCAUUUGCUUAUCCUUUUCAAAUGUUGGUUCAUCUUAUGCAAAUAUUGAUAUGCUUAACAGCCUGCUGCCUAUGUGCAAUGGAGCACCACAAAUUUCUCUGCAUUAUGGUUGUUAGGACAAUUGAUUAGGUUGCAGGAUGAAUUUGUCUUUGAUGAAGGCACUCCACCCUAUACAUAUUCCUUUGCAAGAUGGAUGAUGAUCUCAUCUUUCAAUCUUUCUGGUUUCCCUAUUUAUAAUUUAAUUUCUCAAUUUUAAUUCGCUAGAUGUGGAUGAUGUUUAUUAAUUAUUUGUUCUUACCUUUCACUUCAGCAGAAACCCCCAAUUCAUUUUAUAGUUCUUUCAAUUAAUUUGGAAGUUCAAGUUCUCUCUUUGAUUUUUUUUCUUUCAAUUAAUUUAAUUCAUGAUUUAUCGUUGUUGUUGUUUGUUUGUUUGUUUGUUUUUUUUUUUUUUUUUUUUUUUUUUUUUUUUUUUUUGUGAUAGGUUAACUGUCUGUUGGCUAAAACCACUUAGUGACCUCUUGAUCAACCUGUACAGAUUGCUCUCUGGGCACCAAGCAUUAUGUUUGAAUCGAGAGGCAUAGGUGGGAGAGAAAACAGAGAGAACCCAUAAAGAAAGGGCAAAAGAGACAGCUUCCUCCAUGCAGAUUAGGAUAAGACUAAGAGACAUGCAACGAUUAUACUGAUCGUUUCAAAUGGUACAUGAAUUUCCAACUUCGCCCUUUUUAGCAUGUUGCUACAGUAGUUUAAUUAAUAUUUGUCCCCAAAUUUUAAUUCCUACGUUCUCAUUCUAUCUAAAGAUUGUUGUAUGAUUUUAUUUUGAACUUCUUCGUUUUUAUUUAUUCUCCUCCGUUUGAACGCUCUUCUUUCUUUAUUCUUCCUAUUUCUUCACUUUAAUUUGUAAUAUAUUUUUUUUUGUUUUGAACUUAAGAAUUUUGUUUUAUGUGAUUGAAUCAAGAAACUCCACAUGGUUGCAGAAAAAAGAAUUAUUUUGUUUGUUGUAAGUUCAUAAAAAAACUUCAAACUCUGUUUUCCUUUUUUUGGGUUUUAUUAGUUUAUAUAAAUUUUAAUAUAUUUUGUAAAUGAGUAAUGAGCCAAAAAAAAUUUAAAAAACAUUACCAGAUUAAUGCUGGGUUUUAUGUUCUAAUUGAUGGGUUUUGGUCAAAAGGGGUUCAGAUAUUUAGGUUUGAUAGCUCUGUUUUAUUUGCUUUUAGGGCUUUGGAGAGUUUGAAUUUGGGGCAAUGGGGUUCAAGGUUUGUAUGAAUCAUUCAUGCAGAACAGCCAAUACACACGAAUGAAGGAAAGGUUGAUCUUUGUAGUUCGGUGGAUUUGCCAGUCUCUGCUCCAAAGUGCAGGUAAUUUGUUAGCCCUCUUAGAUUUUGCUUACCAAGUUUUAAUUUUUCAACCAUUUUUAAGUUGUGAUUUUUUCAAUGAUGUGUUUUAUGGUGUUUGAGUUUGGAUACUUUGAACCCAGGUGCUUCUAGACAUCUUGAAAAAGCACUAGGAAGGAGGUUGUUAUUAAUGAUUAGACAAACAAUUAUCCACAUUCUCUGAAUAGGAUUUCACCCAAAUAUGAAGUAAACCCAAUACUUAGAAUUGUAUACCUCUCGGACAAUUUAAAAAAGGGGGUUUUAACGAAAAGCCCGUUGUACUGUUCACUUUAACGAAAAACCACAUUUUAACACUAAAAAGUCAAACCUGAUACUAUUCACUUUACCUUUUAUUUUGUCCUUAUCGUUAAAACUCAAAGUUUUCAAGCCUUUUUCAUUAGUUUUCUUUUGAGAAAAAUUGAUAUCACCUUUGCAUUUGUAUGUUAUCACUGUAAAGAUUAUUCUUUCGAUCAGUUAGAUGUCACGGUUUUUAUAAUCAAUGCUUUGGUUAGCUAUAAAUCCAAACAUCAUUUUCAUAAAAUUUGUUUCUGCCAACAUAUUAAUUUUGCUCAAUGAUAAUGCCAUAAUUGGAAUAUUUUUUAUAGAAAUGAUGCAAUGGGUUAAUAUGAAAUUCCGAACUUUAGGUGAUGAUUGAACUCAUACAUGACUGCUACUGCACAUGCUCCUCUUUUUUGGUUGUUGGGUUUUAUUUUUAUUUCAUUUUUUGGUAAAUACAAUUGUUUUUGCAAAGAACUGACUUUUCUCUUAUUUAUAGUUCUCUAUGCAUGUAGUUUCACCUUUUUUGAUCUCGAGUAUCCGGUUGGCUUUAUUUAUCAGGCACAGAGUUGUGAUUCUGGAUGCUGACAUGAUUAACCACAGGUUGGUGUUCCUUGAGAACUUGGUGCGAAGAAGUGCAAGCAUGUUACAGCGUAUUAUAGGAAUAUUACUACUACUUUUUUUCCCCUUUCUGUAAAUGAUACUAGAUUUUAACCGAGACCAGAUUGUAUCACACAAAAGCAUUGUUUUGCAAUCAUAUUUUGUAUUUUGAUUUUCCGGUCAAGGAAUUUAUAUUCAGGUUCAUAUAACUGCUUUCUAGAAGUGCUUCUAUGUUUUUUUAGGAAGCAUUUGGAAUUGGAUAGGAACUUCAAACAUGUUUCAAAUAAAUGCACUUCUAGCAGAAGCGCUUAAAAGCAGAAGUGCUUCAUAUAGAAGGGGUUCCAAACUAAAAAGCCCUUUGUUUCAUUGCAAGUUGAAGAAUUGGUUUUGGAUUUCAGGUCAAGGUUUCUAAGUACAUUGGGAAGAAGUAUGUGAUUCUCUUUUUUAACCCAUUGCACUUCACAUUUGUUUGUCCUGCAGUUAAGUACGUUUUCACAAUCAACAUUUCUGCAUACAAAAUUUUAAUCUUUAUUAGAUGCUUAUCUAUCUUAAUUUGAUUGAUUUGCUAAAAUUUGUGCCCCCACCUUGCAGAAAUCACCGCUUUCAGCAACCACCAUGCUAAGUUUGCGGAGUUCAACAUAGAAAUCUUGCAUUUUUCAAUUGACACUGGGGUAUGUUGCCCUGCUCCCCACUAUCUUCAGUACCACAUAAAAGGGUUGCAAUUUUGCGUCCAUGGAGUUAUUUGUUUUGAAAUGCCGAAUUGAAUGAAUUUUGUGUUAUAUAUCUCUAGACAAUUUUUCAGGAAAUCUCGUCCCGGUUCUCCCUAUUCGAAGAAAAUUAUUCAACAGGCUUUGAUUUCAAGGUACCGUAAGGUUUUCAUUCCCGCUGCAUCGCGCGGGGCAUUUCUCGCUAGUAUCACUCUAUUUUUGUAAAUAAAAAUACUGUAACAAAGUAACUUUUAGACAAUUAAGCUAACAGGGAACAGAUAUGCAUAAAUAAAUAUUAGUCUAAGCAGUCAAGAGUAAGCAGGAUAUGACAUGGUUUGCAAUAUAUGACCAGAGGAAAACAAAUGCAGGAAAGAACACAAUUGAGUUUCAUUGUCCUUUCUUUCUACUUUUAGUAGUUUGACUUCUAGCACUCGCGUUCAUCUCCUUAGUUAUUUGUUGGUUUAGGUACACACUGUGUAUUACAUGAUAUGUACUUGCUCCUCUGUUUUGCUUUAUCUAUUCAAAGGCAUAUUCCAUCAAGCCGCCGUUGCAGCUGUGGUUCUGAAUUUAAUCUAAGCAAGCAAGCAGGGUAGGCAAAUUCAUUGUUGAAGCCAAAUUUCCAGGACACAGUAAACUUAUGAUCAAUCAGUCUCACCUGAAUGCAAUUCUUCUUUUGUUUUCAUUGAGCAUAUUUUAAGCAAGUACAAUAGACAGACAUUUUUUCACAGCCUAUGGGUUUUCUUGGUAUACUUAUAGCCUAUAGGCAAAGUGAAAAAGCUCACCUCAGCCCUUGAUUAAUACAUUACAUAAUUGGAUAGGAAGCUUGCAUAGCGAGGCCACAAACACCUUCUGGGGCAUCGGCGUUUCUAAGAAUCUUCAUGUAACCAUUAUCACCCCACCUUUCGGCCCAUGAGUUCUUGAUUAACCAAUAGGGGGUGCCAUCUUCAGUUGUCCCAUACCCAAUGAUGGUAACAGCGUGGUUCAAUUCUGUCCCACAACUAUCAUCAGUGAACAGGCCCCCGGAAUAGAGCCGAAAGGCUUGUGAGGCAGCGAUGGCAACGGAGACUGGUUGCAUGGAUACAGCCUUGAGCAAAUCGGUUUCACUGUUGGGAGUUACCCUUGCAUAAUUAGUUAUCUUGGCAGCAGCCUCAUUUCCCAGGUUCGUAUCACAUGUUCCAUCCGAACCCUGGUAUGGGUAAUUUUCUUCACUGGCAAUUCCUCCGUUCUGUUGAAUGUAUGCAAAGGCUUUAGCCAUGUCACCACCUUGGCAGCCAAAGUUACUUGUAUCACAGUCCACAAGUUGUUGCUCAGACAGUGAGAUCAAUUGGCCAGUUUUGAUUUUGGUAAUCCCUUCGACUGCUGCCACUGCAGAAAAUGCCCAGCAACAACCUGCAUGUACUCAAACAAACAGAUACGAAUUAAUUUCCGUAGGAAAGAAUGCAUGAAGAAAGUAAUUAAAAAUAUAUAUGUACGAGUAAGCUUUGCCCAAUAUUAAUAUGGUGGUUGGUGCUCUUACCACAGUUCCCUUGAUCUUUUACAGGAGUAACAGCAUCUUGCUCCCUCCAGUCAAUGCUUGGGGGAACAUCCGUCAGGCUUAGGUUUUUGUGCGUAAAAGAUGCAUCUGCGGAUGAGGUUGAUUCAGUGGGCUUCUUGUAUCCAGUAUGAUGUCUGAGAAUUCUUCAUGGGUCAUAUCAGAAAAUUGAUUGAUGCUUAGCUUGUAUGUCUUCUUCCCUUCACUGUUGAAUUUCUCCACGAAUUCCACAUUGUUCUUGAAUAUGUGGAAACGCCUUUCCUUCUCUGCGCUGUCCUGGUAAACGCGCCCAAACUCUUCCAUCCAUUGCUCAUGUUUUGCAGCAAUGGAAUCUUCGUACAAUGUGCGGGACGUGGCUUGAGAUGCCAAGGUCCCCAAGGUGAUGAGUAUGGCAACAAUUAAAAUGUUUCUUUCAAAAGCCAUUGCUCACAAAGCACCACUGAUGAUGAGAGGGACGCUCUGUAUCGACAAUGGCUUUGAUUUAAAGUUGUGAUUGGUGUGAAGAAGCAAGCAUGUUAUCGCGGGUUUAUAUAGAAGACGAUCAGAACCUCCUGUAUGUGCACUUUGAUGGAACUCUUAGGAUGGGAAUUUCGUAGGAGUCUUUUCCCAUUUGCUGGAGUCUUUUCCCAUUGGGUUUUAGUCGCCAUGAAAUUUCCAAGCACAUUUCACAGUUGACGACCGCAUAAAUUUUUUUAUCAAUCAGUCUGGCCCGAAUGCGAUUCUUGCUUUUGUUUUCUCCGGGGAUUUCACACAAAGAAGUUCGAAUGACUCAGUCAACCGAUGAAUCAAGGGUUGUCUAUUGACCUGAUGACUACAGUUCCUUUUCUAUUUGCCGGAGUCUCUGCCUUUUGGCUUUUAGUUGCCGUGAAUGGUGCUGAUGACUGCAAGUUUUGCAGUCUGCAGUCCUUAACCGUGUACAUACCGCACCGUGUUAAGGACUGCAGUCUUUGAUGCUGAUUUUUGAAGUUCAAGUACUAAAAUUGGUAAGCCAAUGCAGUUGCCCUCCAACUCAGAGUUGCCAAACUAGCUGUCAUAGUGUGUUGUAAUUAAGGUUCCUUUUUCAAAACUAAUUUUCUUGAGGUUCGCAGAUCUUCUAAAUUAUUUUAUGCUAAACUAAUUGAUAAAAAGUGCUGUAGAAUUUUGGUUUCAAUGUGUUUUCUAUUUCAUAAGUAAUUUUGAAUGUACAAUGCAGUACAUAUAGGCGAGAGAAACUGAUGGUUACAAGCAAUCAUCUUUACAUGGAACCCUAGAGAUUGGUUAAACCUAGGACACAUGCUUUUCCUUAAUUUAAGGUGAUUUACGUCAAAUCCAAGACUAAGAAGUAAUCAACAAGUUAAGUGCCUUAAAUCAAGGAGUUGGAAAAUUGGCGGUUGACUUGUGUAUCCAUGAUUACUUGUAGACUUGAAAUGAGACGACAUGCUAGGGUUGCUGUUGCUAGGGUUUAGUGUGAUUGGUUCCAACACUCGCUCUCAAGCUAGAUCGUGAAGUGUAGUGGAGCCAAGCUUGCUCAAAAGCAUGUGUAACUGAGAACAGGGUAAAGCCUUAGUGAAUAAGUCAGCCAAUUGAUCAUGGCUUCGAGUGAAUUGAGUCUGAAUGACUUGUGUUUGAACUUGAGCUCGGAUGAAAUGGCAGUCCACCUCAAUGUGCUUGGUUCUUUCAUGAAAAACAAGAUUAGCUGCAACGUACAUGGCAGCUGGUUAUCACACAUUAGAGACAUGGGGGGUUGAUGUGAGAACCCUAAAUCUGAAACCAACCCUUUAAGCCAAAUCGGUUCGCAUGCAGUGGCUACCAUUUUUCGAUACUCCGCUUCAGCACUAGAUUGUGCUAUAACAAUUUGCUUCUCACUCUUCCAUGUCAUAAGGUUUCCCCCAACGAAAGCGCAAUAUCCAGCGGUAGAUUUUCUAUCAAUUGUACUACCUACCCAGUCUGCAUCUGUGUAAGCAUUGAUUUGUGUGGACUGAUUGUUUGACAUAAGAAUGCCUCUGUCUCUAUAGCCAGAGCACUAUUAGAUGACGCUGGAUUUGCGAAGAAAAAAUGGGAUAGACAGGGCUCACAAGGAAAUUUGAGCUUUCGUCAGAUAAAAUAUCUUUUUUUUUUAAUUCAUGUUAAUUUACAGUAAUUUAUUUUAUUUAAUUUGGUUUUUAAUUCUUUUCUUGUUGUUUUAUGAUUAUGGGGUUUUGUUUUCGGACUCGAACUCUAUUGUCUUCCGAAGUCCUCUGUAAUCAAGGUAAGCAAUUUGAAAAUUUUGGUGGAUUGAAAUCAAAGUUUCAAUUUACACAUUUGUUUAGAUUUGAUUUUAUUGAAGCAAAUUUAUGCAUAUUUUCCAUCAGUUUUUUCUUCUGUUACUUUGGAUAGGUCCUGUUGUCCAGAUUUUGAGCAUCUUCUUUUGGGAGUGAUUAAUAGCUACCAUGACAGGUUAGUUUUUAUACUCUUUCUAAAAAAAAAUUUAUGCAUAAUAUUUAAAUGUUGUGGCAUUUUAAAAUUCUUGCUUCUGUGGUUGUGAUAUGAUAUUAUAUAUUUGCUUUAUUUAAUUACAAUUUAGGUGUGAUGAAAAAUUUAAAAUUUAAUUUCAUUAUUUUCUUCCCAGCUAUCAAUCUGUAGCUUGGCAUUUACAAUUUUUUUGCACAUGCUGCGAAAAAGAACUAGAAAUAGCAAAAGAAAUCAGGGGAUACAGAAGAUCAUACUUCUGACACUGCAAAUGGAAUAGAAAUGUUUAAUGAAAAUGUUUGCCAUGCUGAUGGUGCACAUGCACAAGGUGAUGACAUACUAAUAGAAUGGUUGUUCUUUUGCUUUGAUGUAGAAGUAAGAAGAUUGUUUUGCCUCUUAUGUAUCCUACUUCUAUCUAUGACAUUUUUAGAGCGUCAAUAGCAUUUCUGUUUUUAUAUUACUUACACAUGCGCACACACAUAUAUAUGCAAGAAUCAAUUUCUACCAUGAGGAAUAAUCUUAAGAUUAUUCCAAAUUAAACUUGACAACGAUGCAGGUUGAAAAAAGACUUUACGUAAAAGCCUUGAGGUUAGUUCAAAUAGUGAAAAAGCAGAGAAAUAAGUUACGAUUAAGGUAGGUUAAAAGAAAUUGGUUUCUUUUAGUAUAACCAAAGAAAAAACUUUACGGUACAACUAAGAAGUAAAUAGUUCCCAUGAUUACAACCAACUGAGAAUGGAUUCUAUCCAAACGUAAGAUCCAAGGAAACAUGAACACAAAAUUAAGUAAAUUUCUUAUUCUUUGUUUCCAAAAUUUGCACAAGGAAAUAAAGUAGAUAUAUGGGUGGGCAAAAAGCCAUCAGCAAACAAAGAGAACUGGGAGGGAUGAUGGAUAGGUUAGUCCCAACUUGACCAAAAUUGAUCGCAAAGAGGGGGGUCAAAAAGGCACAAAAACUACCAAGCAAGAAAUAUUGGGGUAAGUGGGGAAAAGAGGUUUUCAGUGGUGCGCCACUAUCCUCACAUCUUAUUGGAACCUAAGAAAUAUGUACAGGGAUGGGACUUGGGAGGAGGCAAUACUUCCAUCCAUCCAUGUCCCCACUAUUUCCAGCACCUCAAAAAGCUAAUAAAAAAAGCAUCCAAAUUAGAGUGUAUAACUAAAUUAAAAAAAAAAAAAAAAAACCAAAAAGAUAGUGACAGAUGAGCAAGUCAUGCUCACAUCAAGCAACCAGUGAUCAUCUGCAGCUUUUACAGAAUCCAGCACCAAAUACAAUUCUGCCACAAACAUGUCUGCUGAUUGGUUGUGAGGGGAGACGCAAGAAUUCACCAUGGAUGCAUGCAUGGCCAUCAUGUUCGCGUUCCUGGAUUUCCAACGGAUGAAUGUGAGAGGUAUGGAAAGGAGAUAAAACAGUGACGUGUCUCUGAAUCAUGCGACAGGAUUAAACGGAUCGUUAUGGUUUCAUUUGGUGCCUGGAACUAGAUUGGCUUGGAUUACUAAAUAUAUUGAAAGUACGUUUUAGGAAGAAAUGCAGAAAUUUAAUACCGCUUGAAAAUAGAAGUUGAAUUAAAGGAACACAUCUUUUCAAUCCCGCAAAUUUCCACGGACCAGAAGGAAUACGUUUGUUUCAUGUCAAAUCCCUUCGAAUCUUCGCUAAAUGCAAAAUCAUUAUGUCAUCGAUAUAACUAAUAUUUUGCGAUAUAUCCAAUUCAAAUCCAUCCCAGGGACCGAACGAGUAUAAACAAUAAUGGAACAUCAAAUAUAACUAACAGAAGCAAAUUGAGUUAUUAACCAACAGAUGCUGCUGGAGUGCAUGGUUACAUAGCAGUCGAUAGCUGCAACUUGCCGUACGAAAUUAAGUGAAAUACAAGAAAAUGAGCAUGCAUACUACAAAUCAUAAUACAAAUAAAAAAGAGGUCUGGAAUACACUUCAGGAGCCGGACGAGAGAGCUCCAAAAACCAGAUUCAGAGUGACAACAGCACAGCCAUUACGUUUAAUGGCCCAAUACGAGUUUCCGUUAUUACCACCAUAGCUCAAGUGCACGUUCAGUCGUUCAAAUUCUCAAUUCCAAUCUUCUGCAGCUCAACCUUGAGAGACUUCAAGUACUGAACAGCUUCGUCCAGAACAGCAACGGUGUUCGUUUCAUUCCCACCAGGUACAAUCCCUCUCAGCGCCCUCACCAUCUUCUUCGUUUUCUGGCGUUUCCUUUCACUGUUGCAGCUGCUGCUGCUACCAACGCCGGAAGACUUUUCAAGUGAAGAACGCAGCCUUUCCUUCUUGGUUUUCAAACCAUAACUGGAGCAAGAAUCAGAGAAUGAGUUCCCAUAAUUUCCAUGAGUUCGUGCUGUACUGACCUCUUCCUCAUCAUAAUCUUCCAGCUCUUCCUCACCAAGCUCAACAAUGCAUCAAUAUCAUCGGAAUCCUCCUUCAGAGUAGACGAUGCUUCUCUAUUGUCAUUAUUUCCCUCGUUCAAUUCCAGAUUGUCUUGGAUGUAAGCUGCACAGAGGUUAAAGGCAGGACCAGUAAUUUUGUGGGCAAUUUCAGGAUUGAACAUAAUCUGACUUCGAUGAUCAGUCUGGUCGAAGAUAAUGAAAUUCUUUGGGCAGAUGCUAGAGGUUUGAAAUUCAACACCAUGGAAAGGUUUAAAGUGAUUUGCCUCAUUAGGUAAAACUGCCCCAUACGCAGAAGCAACUGGAAUGUGCAUGUAAUUAUUACCCACUUGAUUUGCAAAGGGCGGAGCUGCCUUUUUGGAAUUUGAACUUGAAAGCGGGAAAGGAAGCUUGUGACUUUUGCCUAGAGGACAAGAAUGACAUAGAGCAGAAGUCACAUGGCCAUGAAUUGGCAAUUUAUUUCUAGCAACUAAAAACUUUAAAAUAGAAGAAGAGGGAUGCCCUAAUCUAGAGUGCCACACGGCAUCAGAAACGCGACCACCAUAAAAUGCAAAAACGCCAUGUUUAUUGUUUGAUGAAAGACUGGAAAAAGGAUAGAAGCCGUUCUUACUCCGGCCUUGCAAAAGGGUUUUCCCUGUUGUUAAGUCCUGAACACGAUAAAAAUGGGGAUAUAAGGUUAGGGAGCAGUGGUUAUCCAUAGUAAAACGAUUGAUAGAAAUAAUAUUGGUAGAAGCAUUGGGACAAUAUAAGGAGUUGGAAAGAUUAAAGGUAUGGAAGGGAGUGCGAAUAUGUGAGUGACCAACUUUAGAGAUAUGCAAACUUGUGCCGCCAACUACACCAUUCACAUGGUGAUUUCCAUUGUACUCUCGGGGAUCAACCACUUGUGUCAGAUCAUUCGUAAUAUGAGCAUUAGCUCCAGAAUCAAAGAGCCAAUUUUGAACUUGAGGAGGAGCCACGGGGAGAUGGUCAGGAGCAUGAGCAGCGGCAGUAAAGGCCUGAAGCUUGGGCGCAGAAACACGACCUUCGUAUGCCAUGUUCGUACGAUUGUAGCAAUUGAUAGCAGAGUGACCAGGUUUGUGGCAGAUUUGACACUGAACACGACCAUUGGGAUUAAAGCCAUGACCUUGCUGAGGGCCAACACCAAGGACACCAUCAUUAGGAGCACGAGGUCCUGGUUGUCGAAUCACGCCACAACCACCUUGAAAAGGACCAAGGCCGCCAAGACCCGCAGCAGCCUGAAAACCAUGACCACGACUAGCACCGGCCUGAAAACCGCGCCCUCCACGGCUAGCAAUGAGGGCAGUAGGGGCAACAUCAAGAUGGACCACCUGACUCAUCUUUUGACGGCGUUCAGCACCGAGAAGCAAGGCCUCCAAAGCACCAUAGGAGAUGGCAUCCUCUCGAGCUUGAGUAGACGAGACGGUGCUUUCAUACGCAAGACCAACGUUGUUGAGAACAAUGGCUACCAAGUCCGAGUCUGAAACAGGAGACCUCGAGAGAGAUAGAGUGUCAGCGAGAGAGUUCACACAGUCCAAAAAAUCAGCAAUGGAUGAAUCACCACGAUGCGUGUUCAUCAGAUCACUCCGGAGUUGCAAAAGACGACCAGUUGAUGUGGAAGCAUAACGCUCACGGAGAGAAGUCCAAGCGGAGUGAGAACUAGUUUUGCCAAUAAGAGUGGCCAAAACAGUGGGGUGAAUGGAACUGUUGAUCCAUGAUAUAACCAUGACAUCCUGCUGCAUCCAGAGUUCGAAAGCGGGGUUAACAGCAGUGGUGAGAUUGCCGUUAGUAUCUUUGAGAAAAGCUGAAGGACAUUGACUAGUGCCAUCAACGAAGGAGACAAGGUUCCUGCUACGAAGCAGGGGGAGCAUUUGCGCAUGCCAAAGAGGGUAGUUGGUACGAUCAAGCUUGAUCGUCAAAAAAUUGGAGACAUUAGGGAUAGCAGAAGUGGGUAGGGCAGAAGAGGAGUCGGAGGAGGAAGACGCAGAAGAGGCCAUGUCGAAAAAAAAUAAUAAUUUUGCUAGGGUUGUCGUGAGACUUUCUUAGCUCUGUGAUACCAUAAAGGAGAAAUAAUCACACAUAAGAUUAUAAAAGGCUUAAACAGCUGUUGAUGCUCAACUCAGUUGAAUCUGAGAGAGGUUGUGUGUUUGUAUUUAUAGGAAUGAAUUACAUCAAAGAGUUACAAGUCAAACUGAUUACAACUAACUAGUCUAUAUAAAUCCCGAAAUAUAAGAGAUAAUACAAGAGUAUAUUCCCAACUCUUAGCAGCAGCAUCUGUAGUGGAAGAGUCACAGCAAACAACCAACUUAUGGUUUAUCACCCAACACUCAUUAAAAUCUUCCCGACUUCCUUAACAGCUCGAUAUUUCUUGACGUUUACCCCAAUGUUCAUUCUCACUCUUCCAACCACCCUCAAAAAUCACCAAAUAAAAGGAUUCUUCGAAAACCGAGUUUUACCUGCAACAGUUAAUCCACAAAGCAGCAUUGUUAGAAUGAGACCAAAACAGCGGUGCGAAACCGAAAUACAUCAUCAAUGCCACACUUGAUAAAGAGUACGAAAACAUCAGCUUUUCCAAGAACGAAAAGCACAAAGGAAAAAACUUCAGUUCAUCGUACUGACGUUUUUGUUCCACGAUGACAAAAUUUUUAUAGAAACACAUACGGCAAUCAAUCGGUUACAUUAAUCCUUUAUAAGUUUCAAUUUUCACACAAAUUUUUAUAACCUUAUAAGCCGAAUUGACGACCGAGAACUAACAAAGCAAAAUAAACUGUAAUCUUAACAAAGUGAAGCAAUUUACAGUAUGACACGGAAGAACACCACCAAGCGGACGCAGUUCCUGCUGUAAUUCACAAAAGAAUACGUCCACGGCAUCUUGAAUUUACUUCUUCAAUUCCAAAUCAAUAGUAUAUGCUCUCACUCUUCCACAGGAAAAAC
This 29843-nucleotide long non-coding RNA is filed under the name Malus domestica (apple). Its description in RNAcentral is "long non-coding RNA (MDOM_LNC005333)". The record is from RNAcentral. Lineage: Eukaryota; Viridiplantae; Streptophyta; Magnoliopsida; Rosales; Rosaceae.